AACACAACAUCCUCUCCUCUGUCCGCCUGAGCCUUCUCUCUACUCUGUUCGUGUUCUACCUUACUAAACUCUCUCCGGUUGAGACCUACCCAAAGGUUACACGGAGGCCGGAGGGGUAAAAAACCCCUUAGAUGAGGUUACUCACUUAGUAUCGGUGGUUAUUUGUCCGUGGGUCACUUCUACAGUGUGAAACUACACUUUACGGACUCUAGUGUAAGUAGUGGUCCUUCCCAGUUCUACAAGGCGUAGUUUCCGCAGCCGUCACGAUGUUCUCAACUUCUUUCUUCUCCUAAACUACAACAAUGAUGAUAGACACUUCACAGUUUGGACGGCUUCUUCCGUCUUUUAUACAACAACUGCCCCUAAAAUUUUUCGAACUCCACCAUGGCUUGCCCUUCGUCAAGUACCUCAAUAAGUUCCAUAGUAGAAAAACUAUAUCUCCACUGUAAGGGUAACACAUGAUGUUUGAACUUGACCAUGGAAGACUUGACUUGAAACUUGUGAACGUCGAAGACUUGACUUAAAACUUCGUACGUGUGUUGAACUAAAGUUCGUAGCCCAACUGAACUCCGGAUUGUAGUCACUCCAGUCUCUGCUGUCAAGUACCGCCACCGACAGCUGUUGCCGGUCCUGCGGUCUUUUUUUGAUCGUGCAGAGAGAGGGAGCGCGCUCACAACUUAGUCAGCACACUUUGGAAACACACUGUAAAGUUACGCGUUAUGCACGAACCCACAGCGGCGGUGAGGUACGGACGACGUUGUAGUCGGGAGGGUAAAUACGUCACAGGGGUGGUGGCCCCGCCAUCGGGCACGUCGGUGGAGUUCGUAGGAGGCGAUGGGUACGGUACAGGGGACACACUGCGCCCUAGACGGAGUAGCCCGCUCCUUUGGUCUUGGAGCCGGCGGUAGAAUGUGCGCAGCCGUACGUGGAGUCAUACGCCACUCUUACUACGUAAAGGGUUACCCUGUAGAAAGAAGUCUUUUGAAAUACAAGAAUGUUCCUAUUAAAUGUUCUAGCACCAUAACAGCAUUGUCGAUGACCACUGUAUCAAAAGUCAUCGGUACCGCUGUAGUGCACUAGGAAUACUCGUCUUGGUAGUACUGUUUUGUUUGACCAGUUAUCUUAAGUAUUUCAACGUCAAAUAAACGAGAUAAGUUAUUACGAAAAUCAAAGUUACUUUUAACAAUUGACCUGAGGGUACUAACGCCACCAGAUAAUAAGACCUUUUUCAUCAAAAUAGCGGAAAAUUACAAAAGUAAGUGUAGCUACCAGUAUAUACGACAGACCGUUCUACGCUCAAUAGUUGGUGAAUCAAGAAUAUAAAGAAAGGUAGUGUCUAAACCUGUUAAUUAAUCGAAAGCAACGUAGUACGAAGACCUAUAUUACUUAUUUUACUACAUGGCCAACCUAAUGAAGAAGUAGUUGGAUACAAGGUGAGUUGUAAGUAGAAAACCUAAUGAAGAAGUGGUUGAAUACGAGGUGAAAUGUAAAUAUAGUACCUUUUUAUCAACAGAAAUCACUGGAACAUAUAUCAACAAAAUCGUCCGUACCCACAAACGUAAAAGAGAAAAGAUGGGCAACGUUGCGUACCCGGGAAAACGAUCAAUUUAGUAUUUCCUUCGUCGCUAUACGGAGUAUGAACGUAUAUCAUCAUAAUGACAAGUUAUGCCUUCGAACGUUGGCGUUAUGACUUUCUAUAUGUCGAAACACGAGGGUAGGGUUACACUUGGUUGUCUAGGCUAUUACUCUAGUAUACCAUCAUGCUGGGUAUUACUUAAAGGCGAAUAAUUAUUCUAAAAGUUUCUUAUAUCGCUUACCUCGAGAUUGAGUAUAUCAUAUGAGGGAGAUAGAGUAUUACAUUUUGCAAAAAAGUGUGAUUACAUCACAGUUUUUUUCAGAAUAUAAUACCCUACCUCCCUCAUCAUCAAAACAUAAACGUCUAAUUUAAAUAGUAAAGGAGACGAACCGACACUCUUGUUCCCUUCAGCGUAGUGUUUUAAGAGUACAACUCCUCGACAUCUUUGUUGACAUACAAUCCUCGUUAAAUGACGAUUUUUGUGCAAGGACUACGAUCUAGAACUUACAAAGUUCAUGUGUACUAGACAAACAAAGACAUUGUUCGUUACGAUGAUCCUCAAAUGAACCUAAUAACGUACUACAUAAUCAUUAAACGAGAAAUUUCAAAAAAAGAAAGGUUAACACGGUACAGUACAAUCAUUUUAUAAAAAAGUCUGAAGACUUAGUAUGAUUCUUCGUCGUUAUACACAAAGAAACGAUCCACGAGGAUUAAUCGGAAACGAAGGAAAUAAAUAAAUAAAGUCCGAAAUCACAAUGAAACAACGUACGUAUACGAACGACUAGAAAAAAUUCGUAAAAGAAGCCGAAACGACCGCGUAACUACGUGUCCUAAUGUCUUUGAAAGUCUUGAAUGUAUUUAUAUUUAACGUCUCAAAGGCGUAAAACCUUAUCUGUGAGUAUUGUAUUUAAUUUUAAUUAAUCCUUGAAACUCUGGUAACAUUUCUCCUCUUACUUUACGUCUGUUGGUAGAAAACCAAGUCAGUCCAUCCUGUAAUGGAAAAUAGCUUCGUCUCUUCCCCCGUUAGCAUACUUAGUAUUGAUUCGGUUAUUCCCCGUGGGAGUACGGGAUGGGUAUGGGCGGUUAUGGGAUGGGUGAUUGCCCGUAAAGUGCCCGCGCCGCCGUGGCGCGGAAACGGGUCGAUCAGAUAAAAUUAUAACUGUUUGUUUCAAAACACCACGACCUAUUUGGGUCAUUAAGUACAACCGAACGAACCCACCAGUAUGAUCUACCACUAAGACCACGUAUGUUUAUACAUCAAAACACUAUAUAGAUAUCGUAUACGAGAUGUCAACUCCUUUACUCAACUACAAAGAGACCUUGACUUCCUUGUUAUGUUAGAUUUAAUCCACCAUGACUUACAAACGUUCCUUCAGAGGCUCACUCAUAUAUCGGGAUGAUAAAACGUAAAUUCUACGGUAGAAAUGUAUUUUAAUCAAGUCACACUAAAUGUCGAAUAAAAUCGUCUCUGUUACGAGACUUAACGAGUGACCUACUGAGUAUGAGAGAGGUAAGGAUUUAUAUUCAGAAAAAAAUCUCUAAAAUUAUAUCUGAUGUAUGUCUACAUAUUAUCUGCAUCAAAUCUCACAUCUAAGUGAGUAAAACGAGGCAUACAUCAGGUAUAACUUAAGAAGAUGAGGAGAAGGAAUAGUCCUGUGCACCAUCACUCUCCUACCAACUCUUCAAAACAUCCAACCUAGGGAUUUACUUAAUUAACACUUGUAAACGAUUUUGUUAAAUCACGUUUGGUAUUUACCUCGACAUUUCUAAAUGAUUUAACAACACGAAAUACGAUAUAAUGGACCUGGAAGGACAACGUAUCAAAUCUACCGUAAACAUGUGGUUGCAAAAUGAUAAAUCCUCGUAACACGUCUUAGUUUCGACAAAUCCCGUAAUGGUUUCUGGACUAAAGUUUGUUGGUGCACUGUGUACAUGAUUCGAUAGGUUUGAUAAGUUUUUUUUUUGUGGACUACAGUUGUUCUUACUAGAAAAUAGACAAGUUAAAAAGAAGUCACGUAUACGUCGUAUGUACAACUUAAAAACCCCCAACCAACCUUCUUUCUUUGAUACCAAAAUACCCUAGUACUACAAUUACCCCUACAGAGUGCCAAAAGCAAAAUAAUCUACACUCCAAUGUUCAUAAGACGUAAAUCAUCUUUUGUUAAGUACAGUUUGUACGUUUUCUCGAGGUAGUAGUUGGCCGUCUUUUGUUUGUCACGGCGUUUCGCAGGGAAACGAAGAUUCAAAGGUGAUAUCAAGUUACGAAUGUACGGUAACAUAGAGACAGCAACUACAGGUUGCCAACUCGGGCGUAUACAUAAUGUUCUAAUUUCCCAUACUAAGGACAAGGUAAAUUAUAGAUGAGGUACCUACUUCGAUACCGUCUUUUGAGAUCAGGAUAACUUCGAUUACGUCUAGUUGGCACGGGCAACUCUUAGUAUCGGUUCUGCAACCGUCCCUAACUUAACCUACCCAGGUAUUCUAACGUCGAUGUCCUCUACGUCCCGGCCACAGAAGAGGCAGGUGCAGAUCCUUGAACUUACUAAAGAAGGAGCAGCAGCCACUGGAGCCGAACGCGUAGUCGGAAGCGGUACCACCGGGCGUGAGGGGCUUGCCACAGCCCGUCGAAGAGGAGAUCGUGGCCCCUCUUCUACCCUAGUCCCAUUACAUGCCUACCGAACUUUCGGUUCUAAUCGAGGUUGAGCAGCAGACCGUCGGCUUUUCAGAAGAAGAAGCAGAAAAAGAAAUAGUGGAGGAAGACGACGUGGCGCGACCGACGUAGUAGCAGUUAAUGCCGGCAUAGUCGAUAGUAGCGGAAGGCGACGAGGAGCCUACUUUAACUCGAGCUGUAGCUAGUUUUGCAACAUUAUCG
This 4448-nucleotide ribosomal RNA is filed under the name Triticum aestivum (bread wheat). RNAcentral describes it as "partial small subunit ribosomal RNA". Lineage: Eukaryota; Viridiplantae; Streptophyta; Magnoliopsida; Poales; Poaceae. The record is from RNAcentral.